UACGUAGGUGGCAAGCGUUAUCCGGAAUUACUGGGCGUAAAGCGCACGCAGGCGGCCUUUUAAGUUUGACGUGAAAGCUCCUGGCUUAACCGGGAGAGGUCGUUGAAGACUGGAAGGCUUGAGACGAUGAGAGGGGUGCAGAAUUCCCGGUGUAGUGGUGGAAUGCGUAGAUAUCGGGAGGAAUACCAGUGGCGAAGGCGGCACCCUGGCAUCGGUCUGACGCUCAUGUGCGAAGGCGUGGGGAGCGAACGGG
Molecule: ribosomal RNA, 253 nt
Filed under: uncultured bacterium
Lineage: Bacteria
Also listed under: 1 other name
Description: partial 16S ribosomal RNA
Rfam family: Bacterial small subunit ribosomal RNA
Source: RNAcentral